Molecule: ribosomal RNA, 460 nt
Filed under: uncultured bacterium
Lineage: Bacteria
Description: bacterial SSU rRNA
Rfam family: Bacterial small subunit ribosomal RNA
Source: RNAcentral
GAUCCUGGCUCAGAGCGAACGCUAGCGGCGAGCUUAACACAUGCAAGUCGAGCGGAGGGUUUCGGCCCUCAGCGGCGGACGGGUGAGUAACACGUAGGUUACGUGCCCUUUGGUGGGGAAUAACUUAGGGAAACCUGAGCUAAUACCGCAUAUGCCCUUCGGGGUGAAAGUCUUCGGACGCCAGAGGAUCGGCCUGCGGCCCAUUAUUUAAUCCUUGUUGGUGGGGUAACGGCCUACCAAGGGUACGAUGGGUAGCUGGUCUGAGAGGAUGAUCAGCCACACUGGGACUGAGACACGGCCCAGACUCCUACGGGAGGCAGCAGUGGGGAAUAUUGGACAAUGGGGGAAACCCUGAUCCAGCUACGCCGCGUGGGUGAUGAAGGCCUUCGGGUUGUAAAGCCCUGUCGAGGGGGACGAAGUUCUGACGGUACCCCUCAAGAAAGCACCGGCUAACUCCGUG